GAACAAAAUGGCGAGGUUGGGGGGCGGGAUUGUGCAGGAGACUGUUGGAGGAAUACAGCAGUUAAUGGAGGAUUCUAAUAAGCAUUAA
RNAcentral lists this long non-coding RNA (88 nucleotides) under Fukomys damarensis (Damara mole-rat). Its description in RNAcentral is "lncRNA (ENSFDAG00000030343.1)". Lineage: Eukaryota; Metazoa; Chordata; Mammalia; Rodentia; Bathyergidae. The record is from RNAcentral.